UGCGGAGGGAUCAUUACACAAAUUAAAAUAUGAAGGCUUCGGCUGGAUUAUUUUUAUCACCCUUGUCUUUUGCGCACUUGUUGUUUCCUGGGCGGGUUCGCCCGCCACCAGGACCACACCAUAAACCUUUUUUAUGCAGUUGCAAUCAGCGUCAGUAUAACAAAUGUAAAUCAUUUACAACUUUCAACAACGGAUCUCUUGGUUCUGGCAUCGAUGAAGAACGCAGCGAAAUGCGAUACGUAGUGUGAAUUGCAGAAUUCAGUGAAUCAUCGAAUCUUUGAACGCACAUUGCGCCCUUUGGUAUUCCAAAGGGCAUGCCUGUUCGAGCGUCAUUUGUACCCUCAAGCUUUGCUUGGUGUUGGGCGUCUUUUGUCUUUGGCCUCGCCCAAAGACUCGCCUUAAAACGAUUGGCAGCCGGCCUACUGGUUUCGCAGCGCAGCACAUUUUUGCGCUUGCAAUCAGCAAAAAGGACGGCAAUCCAUCAAGACUACAUUUUUACGUUUGACCUCGGAUCAGGUAGGGAUACCCGCUGAACUUAAGCAUAU
This 545-nucleotide ribosomal RNA is filed under the name Curvularia lunata. RNAcentral describes it as "eukaryotic LSU rRNA". The stretch from base 179 to 332 matches the Rfam family "5.8S ribosomal RNA". The record is from RNAcentral. RNAcentral also lists the same sequence under 1 other name. Lineage: Eukaryota; Fungi; Ascomycota; Dothideomycetes; Pleosporales; Pleosporaceae.